AGCAAAUAUUGCUGCCUGAUCCUUCCUCUGGAAGCUUCAUCCCAGAGGAGCACCCGCCUGUAUGAGGUGUCAGUCGACCCCUACUGGGAGGUGCUCCCAGUUAGGCUACACAGGGGUCAGGGACCCACUUGAGGAGGCAGUCUGUCUGUUCCCAGAGCUCAAAUGCCAUGCUGGGAGAACCACUGCUCUUAAGAGCUGUCAGAUAGGGACUUUUAAGUCUGCAGAAGUUUCUGCCUACUUUUGUUCAGCUAUGCCCUGCCCCUAGAGGUAGAGUCAACAGAGGCAGCAGGCUUUGCUGAGCUGCAGUGGACUCCGCCCAGUUCAAGCUUCCCUGGCUGCUUUGUUUACCUACUCAAGCCUCAGCAAUGGCAGAUGCCCCUCCCACUGCCAGGCUGCUGCCAGGCUGCUGCCUCGCAUGUCAAUCUCAGACUGCUGUGCUAGCAGUGAGCAAGGCUCUGUGGGCGUGGAACCCUCCAAGCCAUGCGUGGCAUAUAAUCUCCUGGUGUGCCGUUUACUAAGACCAUUGGAAAAGCACAGUAUUUAGGCAGGAGUGUCCUGUUUUUCCAGGUACAGUCUGUCUCGGCUUCCUUUGGCUAGGAAAGGGAAAUCCCCCAACCCCUUCUGCUUCCUGUGUGAAGUGAUGUCCUGCCCUGCUUUGGCUUGCCCUCCGUAGGCUGCACCCACUGUCCAACCAGUCCCAGUGAGAUGAACCAGGUACCUCAGUUGGAAAUGCAGAAAUCACCCAUCUUCUGCGUUGAUCACCCUGGGAGCUGCAGACUGGAACUGUUCCUAUUCAGCCGUGUGCUAAUUUUUGUAUUUUUAGUAGAGACGGGAUUUUGCCAUGUUGGCCAGGCUGGUCUGGAACUCCUGACCUCAAGUGAUCUGUCUGCCUCAGCCUCCCAAAAUGUUGGGAUUACAGGCGUGAGCCACCACGCCUGGCCAAAUUUGUGAUUUUUUUUUGAGAUGGAGUCU
Molecule: long non-coding RNA, 972 nt
Filed under: Homo sapiens (human)
Lineage: Eukaryota; Metazoa; Chordata; Mammalia; Primates; Hominidae
Description: HSALNT0105465
Source: RNAcentral